This 380-nucleotide ribosomal RNA is filed under the name uncultured eukaryote. RNAcentral describes it as "partial 18S ribosomal RNA". It matches the Rfam family "Eukaryotic small subunit ribosomal RNA", at positions 592 to 976 of the family's 1831-position model. The record is from RNAcentral.
CAAUAGCGUAUAUUAAAGUUGUUGCGGUUAAAAAGCUCGUAGUUGGAUUUCUGCCGAGGACGACCAGUCCGCCCACUGGGUGAGCAUCUGGCUCAGCCUUAGCAUCUUCUUGGAGAACGUAUCUGCACUUCAUUGUGUGGUGCGGUAACCAGGACUUUUACUUUGAGGAAAUUAGAGUGUUUCAAGCAGGCGUGCGCCUUGAAUACAUUAGCAUGGAAUAAUAAGAUAGGACCUUAGUCCUAUUUUGUUGGUUUCUAGAGCUGGGGUAAAGAUUAAUAGGGAUAGUUGGGGGCAUUCGUAUUUAACUGUCAGAGGUGAAGUUCUUGGAUUUGUUAAAGACGGACUACUGCGAAAGCAUUUGCCAAGGAUGUUUUCAUUGA